AGUGACACAACUUUUGACAUGUCAAAUGAACGAGCGAGUGCGCGGGGAUAAAUUACAACACCACGCGAGCACAGAGGCCAUUCGACCCCGAAAAUACAAAAAAAAAACACCGAAAGCUAUACCGACCCCCAAAGAGAUAGCGCGAUUGUGUGAUGUGAUGUGAUGGCCAGGGCCCAGAGACAGCCCAGAGAGAGCCCAAUGUGCAAGUUCUUGGUUAACAUUUCGGAGUACAAUUCUGGAUAAAAUUUCCUAGUAAACUUCUGGAUAUCUUUAUAAAAUUCAGCAACGAAUUUCCCAUUUUCUAAUGGAAUAAUAGAAUUCUUAUGCGACUUGUUCUGCCCAACCGUAGUCAUAUCGUCCUGUGGGUCCAGGCGGAUUCUGCGAGGAGGCAUUGGUAGUACGGCAUCGUCGGGGUUUUUCGUCUCGACAACGGUUGCCCACGAAUGCCUUUGUCCUUGGGCGACUCGGACCACUCCGAAUAGCACAGAACAAAAAAUGUUUGCUUAGUUUCGAGCUUCUGUUUUGUUUAAGAACUUCUACGGAUCAAAAACGUGUGGGCCUUGUGGAUCGUGCCCUCCCAUGUGCUGUGGAAGCUUCUGUGGUGGCUGUCGCUGAGUAAUAACGACAAUCGACAGGAUCUAAGCCUUCCAUCAACGCUCUGGUGACACCUGCAGAAAGCUAGAGCUCAAAGCUGACUCAAAAAAAUAGCUUUAGACUAGUUUUAUGAUAGUUUUACAAAUAAACCUUUUAAAAAUAAAACAAUUACGAA
This 769-nucleotide unclassified non-coding RNA is filed under the name Drosophila pseudoobscura pseudoobscura. Its description in RNAcentral is "GA31859". The record is from RNAcentral. Lineage: Eukaryota; Metazoa; Arthropoda; Insecta; Diptera; Drosophilidae.